GACGAACGCUGGCGGCGUGCCUAAUACAUGCAAGUCGAACGCUGAAGGAGGAGCUUGCUUCUCUGGAUGAGUUGCGAACGGGUGAGUAACGCGUAGGUAACCUGCCUGGUGGCGGGGGAUAACUAUUGGAAACGAUAGCUAAUACCGCAUAAGAGUAGAUGUUGCAUGACAUUUGCUUAAAAGGUGCAAUUGCAUCACUACCAGAUGGACCUGCGUUGUAUUAGCUAGUUGGUGGGGUAACGGCUCACCAAGGCGACGAUACAUAGCCGACCUGAGAGGGUGAUCGGCCACACUGGGACUGAGACACGGCCCAGACUCCUACGGGAGGCAGCAGGAGGGAAUCUUCGGCAAUGGACGGAAGUCUGACCGAGCAACGCCGCGUGAGUGAAGAAGGUUUUCGGAUCGUAAAGCUCUGUUGUAAGAGAAGAACGAGUGUGAGAGUGGAAAGUUCACACUGUGACGGUAUCUUACCAGAAAGAGACGGCUAACUACGUG
RNAcentral lists this ribosomal RNA (495 nucleotides) under uncultured bacterium. Its description in RNAcentral is "partial 16S ribosomal RNA". It matches the Rfam family "Bacterial small subunit ribosomal RNA", at positions 28 to 507 of the family's 1533-position model. The record is from RNAcentral.